GUGAGGAAUUUUCCGCAAUGGGCGAAAGCCUGACGGAGCAAUGCCGCGUGAAGGAUGAAGGCCUAUGGGUUGUAAACUUCUUUUCUCAGAAAAGAAUUAUGACGGUAUCUGAGGAAUAAGCAUCGGCUAACUCUGUGCCAGCAGCCGCGGUAAGACAGAGGAUGCAAGCGUUAUCCGGAAUGAUUGGGCGUAAAGCGUCUGUAGGUUGUUUAAAAAGUAUUCUGUCAAAGAUUAGGGCUUAACCCUAGAUAGGCAGAAUAAACUUUUAAGCUAGAGUUUGGUAGAGGCAGAGGGAAUUCCCGGUGGAGCGGUGAAAUGCGUAGAUAUCGGGAGGAACACCAAAGGCGAUGGCACUCUGCUGGGCCAAUACUAACACUGAGAGACGAAAGCGAGGGGAGCAAAUGGGAUUAGAAACCCGGGUAGUCC
This 426-nucleotide ribosomal RNA is filed under the name uncultured bacterium. Its description in RNAcentral is "bacterial SSU rRNA". It matches the Rfam family "Bacterial small subunit ribosomal RNA", at positions 354 to 796 of the family's 1533-position model. The record is from RNAcentral.